GGAUGGGUCGUGAGAGGCGGCGGAAGCCGUCCCUUACUGACGGGCCCGCGGCGCAUUAGCUAUUUGGUGAGGGAAGGGCUCACCAAGGCGACGAUCGUUAGCCGGCUUGAGAGGGUGAACGGCCACACUGGGACUGAGACCCGGCCCAGACUCCUACGGGAGGCAGCAGUAGGGAAUCUUCCGCAAUGGACGGAAGUCUGACGGAGCAACGCCGCGUGAGUGAGGAAGGCCUUCGGGUCGUAAAGCUCUGUUGUUCGUGAAGAAGGGGUUGGCCAGGAAAUGGGCCGACAUUGACGGUAGCGAACCAGAAAGCCCCGGCUAACUACGUGCCAGCAGCCGCGGUAACACGUAGGGGGCAAGCGUUGUCCGGAAUGAUUGGGCGUAAAGGGCGCGCAGGCGGCCUCUUAAGUCUGAUGUGAAAGCCCACGGCUCAACCGUGGAGGGACAUUGGAAACUGGGGGGCUUGAGUGCAGGAGAGGGGAGUGGAAUUCCACGUGUAGCGGUGAAAUGCGUAGAGAUGUGGAGGAACACCAGUGGCGAAGGAGGCUCUCUGGCCUGUGACUGACGCUGAGGCGCGAAAGCGUGGGGAGCGAACAGGAUUAGAUACCCUGGUAGUCCACGCC
Molecule: ribosomal RNA, 623 nt
Filed under: uncultured organism
Description: SSU rRNA
Rfam family: Bacterial small subunit ribosomal RNA
Source: RNAcentral